CAAUAGCGUAUAUUAAAGUUGUUGCAGUUAAAAAGCUCGUAGUUGGAUUUCUGGUUGAAGCGACCGGUCGGGCGUUGACUCGUCUGCACUGGAGUCGGUUUUGGCCAUCCUCUAGGAAAGUGCGUCUGGUAUUAAGUUAUCGGGCGUAUGAUCCUGGUCUUUUACUGUGAAAAAAUUAGAGUGUUUAAAGCAGGCCUUCGCCUUGAAUACAUUAGCAUGGAAUAAUAAGAUAGGACUUUGGUCUAUUUUGUUGGUUUGCAGACCGAAGUAAUGAUUAAUAGGGAUAGUUGGGGGUAUUUAUAUUCCGAUGUCAGAGGUGAAAUUCUUAGAUUUUCGGAAGAUAAACUUAUGCGAAAGCAUUUACCAAGGAUGUUUUCAUUAA
This 382-nucleotide ribosomal RNA is filed under the name uncultured eukaryote. RNAcentral describes it as "partial 18S ribosomal RNA". It matches the Rfam family "Eukaryotic small subunit ribosomal RNA", at positions 592 to 976 of the family's 1831-position model. The record is from RNAcentral.